Molecule: non-coding RNA, 124 nt
Organism: Ailuropoda melanoleuca (giant panda)
Lineage: Eukaryota; Metazoa; Chordata; Mammalia; Carnivora; Ursidae
Source: Rfam
AAUUAUCCCAGAGAAUUAAUAUUAAAAACAGGCUGGGAGUUGUUUGAACUGUGAUCACCCCCCCCCCAAAAAAACCGAGAGGAUAAAACAUUCUUCUUGCUAAGAUUUCUUUGGAAAACCCCUG